Molecule: ribosomal RNA, 253 nt
Filed under: uncultured bacterium
Lineage: Bacteria
Description: partial 16S ribosomal RNA
Rfam family: Bacterial small subunit ribosomal RNA
Source: RNAcentral
UACGUAGGGGGCAAGCGUUGUCCGGAUUUAUUGGGCGUAAAGAGCGUGUAGGCGGCUGGGUAGGUCCGUUGUGAAAACUCGAGGCUCAACCUCGAGACGCCGAUGGAAACCCUCCAGCUAGAGUCCGGAAGAGGAGAGUGGAAUUCCUGGUGUAGCGGCGAAAUGCGCAGAUAUCAGGAAGAACACCCGUGGCUAAGGCGGCUCUCUAGUACGGUACUGACGCUGAGACGCGAAAGCGUGGGGAGCGAACAGG